RNAcentral lists this ribosomal RNA (497 nucleotides) under uncultured bacterium. Its description in RNAcentral is "partial 16S ribosomal RNA". It matches the Rfam family "Bacterial small subunit ribosomal RNA", at positions 28 to 507 of the family's 1533-position model. The record is from RNAcentral.
GAUGAACGCUGGCGGCGUGCCUAAUACAUGCAAGUCGAGCGAACGGACGAGAAGCUUGCUUCUCUGAUGUUAGCGGCGGACGGGUGAGUAACACGUGGAUAACCUACCUAUAAGACUGGGAUAACUUCGGGAAACCGGAGCUAAUACCGGAUGAUAUUUUGAACCGCAUGGUUCAAAAGUGAAAGACGGUCUUGCUGUCACUUAUAGAUGGAUCCGCGCUGCAUUAGCUAGUUGGUAAGGUAACGGCUUACCAAGGCAACGAUGCAUAGCCGACCUGAGAGGGUGAUCGGCCACACGGGAACUGAAACACGGUCCAGGCUCCUACGGGAGGCAGCAGAAGGGAAUCUUCCGCAAUGGGCGAAAGCCUGACGGAGCAACGCCGCGUGAGUGAUGAAGGUCUUCGGAUCGUAAAACUCUGUUAUUAGGGAAGAACAUAUGUGUAAGUAACUGUGCACAUCUUGACGGUACCUAAUCAGAAAGCCACGGCUAACUACGUG